ACAGCAUGAUGUAUAUCAAUCACCAGAAAUAAAUAUUAGGAAUAUAAGAAAGAUCAAAUGUCUACCUCUAAAAUUUCAAAAACUAAUGAGUCCAAAGAAAAAUACAAAAUUGAGUUACCAUUUCAUUAGUAAGAUUUUAUGUCAUCUAUCUGUUAAUAAUUUUAUUCUUAUUAUUAUUUAUUUUUUAGCCAAAUUGCCAUAUAUGUAAUAUACUAAAAUAAUAAUGGGAUUUUGCUAUAGAAAAGAAUAAUAAUUCAUCAAAUGUAUUAAAUGUGGGAAGAAAUAGUAAUAUCAAACAGAAUGUACUCGAUGAUUCACAAAAGAUGGCAGUCCAGUCAGAAUUCAUACAGGCGUUGGCAGAGGAAAAGUAUAGAGCGGAUAAAAUAAGAUUUGGGAAUAUAAGUAAAGUUAGCAUACUUCUCUUGUAUCUCCACUUUUUGCUUUGUUAUUAUC
Long non-coding RNA from Bombus impatiens (common eastern bumble bee), 453 nucleotides. RefSeq lists it as uncharacterized. The record is from RefSeq and is a predicted model, not a curated record. The transcript has 2 exons. NCBI's taxonomy places the organism in Eukaryota, Metazoa, Arthropoda, Insecta, Hymenoptera, Apidae.